This 741-nucleotide ribosomal RNA is filed under the name uncultured archaeon. RNAcentral's name for it is "bacterial SSU rRNA". It matches the Rfam family "Archaeal small subunit ribosomal RNA", at positions 118 to 859 of the family's 1478-position model. The record is from RNAcentral.
GGACCGGGAUAACCCUGGGAAACUGGGGCUAAUACUGGAUAGGCAAUUAUUCCUGCAAUGGUUUUUUGUUUAAAUGUUUUUUCGCCUAAGGAUGGGUCUGCGGCCGAUUAGGUAGUUGGUUAGGUAAUGGCUUACCAAGCCGUUGAUCGGUACGGGUUGUGAGAGCAAGAGCCCGGAGAUGGAACCUGAGACAAGGUUCCAGGCCCUACGGGGUGCAGCAGGCGCGAAACCUCCGCAAUGUGAGAAAUCGCGACGGGGGGAUCCCAAGUGCCAUUCUUAACGGGAUGGCUUUUCAUUAGUGUAAAGAGCUUUUGGAAUAAGAGCUGGGCAAGACCGGUGCCAGCCGCCGCGGUAACACCGGCAGCUCUAGUGGUAACAAUUUUUAUUGGGCCUAAAGCGUCCGUAGCCGGUUUAAUAAGUCUCUGGUGAAAUCCUGUAGCUUAACUGUGGGAAUUGCUGGAGAUACUAUUAGACUUGAGACCGGGAGAGGUUAGAGGUACUCCCAGGGUAGAGGUGAAAUUCUGUAAUCCUGGGAGGACCGCCUGUUGCGAAGGCGUCUAACUGGAACGGUUCUGACGGUGAGGGACGAAAGUUAGGGGCGCGAACCGGAUUAGAUACCCGGGUAGUCCUAACUGUAAACGAUGCGGACUUGGUGUUGGGGUGGCUUUGAGCUGCUCCAGUGCCGAAGGGAAGCUGUUAAGUCCGCCGCCUGGGAAGUACGGUCGCAAGACUGAAACUUAA